GCCAGUUGGGGAACGGCGACGACACUUACCGCGGCGGUGCGCCGUCUCUCUCUCCCUGACUCUCAGUCUGUCUUUCCCAUCCUCCCGACAGCCUCAAAUAGAGCAGUCCCUUAUACUGUUCAGCCUGUGGGGAGCAGAGGAUUGCAGAGUUGGUUGGUUUUGUUGUUUCUUUUUUUUUUUUUCUUUUUCUUUUUUUUCUUUUUUUUUUUUUUUGUUAACCAUCCAGAGGUAGCACUCCCGACCCGACCGCGUCUCUUCUCCGCGCUCACUGCUGCACAGACCCAGCACUGAUCUCUCUCCUUCCACCAACACCCUGCGCCGGUUGCCUUCACUGCACACCGUACAGUCCUUCUCUUCAUACCGCGGCAGCUGUAACUGGAACAGCCCCGGAGCCGGCAGACCCCUCUCUCUUCCCCAUUUCCCUCCAUCCACCUGCUUCUCAUUGCGCACCGUUCCGACACAGCGCCCCCGCUCCGCGCUGCUGCUCUCCCCUUACACUGCGCGGAAACUGCGCGAACCGCGUAGCCGCGCCCCGCCGCUGCACAGAGCCCCGGGCCGGCUGUGCUUCUGCGAGUUCUCCUCCGCCUUUCUCGACCGCUUCGGUGCUCAUUUAUGCAUGCACCCAGCGCCUCUCUCUGAUGGCUAUCCUCAGGAUCCGGGCUGAUUUUAAUUCUUUUUUUUUUUUUCUUAAAUUAUUUCUGUAUUUAUUUUUUCUUCUGUGGCAACGGCAACUUUUUACUUUAACAUUUAAUGCUUCUCUGCCCUUCUAUACUUUUUUUUUUCCUUGCUUUUUUUUUUCUUCAUCUUACACAAGUAAUUAGGUUCUUUUUUUUAACUUCUGUAUUAACUGAGUAACUGUUUUCCAGUUCCCAUUGCCCGAGAUUUUUCCCUGCUUCAGUGACUCCAUUUCAGUGGUUAAUGCUUUCUGAACCCGUAUGACUUACAGAUAUAUAUGUAUGUAUGUUUUUCUCUACUGAUUUCUUUUAUUUAUCAUGUACUUUUUAAUUUUAUUUUUAAGAAAUUAUUAUUUGUUUUAGAUUAAUAGGGAAGAAGAAUCAUUCAGUUUUGGAAUUUGCUGGGGUUCUUACUCAGUUCUAGCCUUAUAUCUUGGCAACACCAAUAUGUUUUUUUCCCCGAUGUCUUUUUCUUGUCUUUCAUAUUGAUGCCUCUAGAAAGAUAACUUAUCAGCAGAGUGACAAAGUUUUAUAUCCUUUAUAUGGUCCUGUGUGCUAUCUUAGAAGUCUGACAGAGGCUUUACAAAUCCAAGUCAUGUUGAAUGAGUUCUGUCCAGUAAUAAGAUCAUUGAGAAUGAGCUCAGCUUCAAGCUUCAACUCUCUCUCUUUCUCUCUUUCUCUCUUUCUUAAUACCAAAGUUGUAAAUUUGUUUCUUUAUCAUUAGUUACCACUGUCUUAACUCCUAUGGUGAAAGACUGAAAAUGAGCCCGUCAUUAGAAAUUGACUUUGAAUACUCUUUCCCAUACAAACGCAGAAAAAAAUUGUCCCCCACAGCUCUGCAUGGCUCUCCAGCCUUACUGCUGUUGAGAAAGUAAUGUUGCAACUUGACAUGUCAAAGCUUCUCUUCAUUGACUCAAUUUUCAGAACAUUAUCAUCCGGUCAUUAUUUCCAGUGUUACUAGGCUACAAGACAGCAUUUAAUCAGAAGCCAGGAAUAGUCGCUGCAUUAAUUCUGAUAGUAUGAAUAACUUAUGAAGCUCCAUUUCUCAAUAUUUCCAAAGUGAACAUUAAAGCCAGAAGCAUUUUUGUUAAUAAAUGUAUUUUAUUUUACAUAUAGUAGUCAUUUAUGACAACAGUCAAGAAUUACGUGCGAAGAGUGAUUUCCAAAGCAGUUUUAAAAGUCUGAAGGAGUGCUAACUACCACUAUUGCUAUCUCAGGAUGGUGGGCAAAUAUAUUUCUACCUGACACAUCCUCCUCCUCCACCAGUGCCAAUUAUAACUCAGAUGGACUCGGGGGAUUACUGACAAUUUCUUUAAUGGUGUGUGAGAGUUCCCAUUGCCCAUAUAGAUUUACUCUGCAACACAGACAGUGACAAAAAGAUGCCAUCUCUGUGUCAUACUGUCAAUGGAUGCCAUGGAGAGAAUCUCAAUGCCAUUUCAAAAUCUGCUAGCAGAGAGGAAAGUGAAGACUAAUCUGAGGAUUCAAAAUGGAAUGUUCAGCUUUGACUGAGACACCAGACUUUGCUGAAGUCUCAUAAUGACAAAGGAUUUGUAGCAAAACCAGUUCUUCAUGGAAGAGUCUGAGAACAUGAGAAAAAAAAAGAGCAGAAAUGGUACUUAGAGCAUACUUGAUAGAGCAGUGUGAGGACCAAUAUAUGUGCUAACUGGGCCUGGAAAAUUAAAUCCUCCUUUGUAUAGAUUAUUCUUUUGAAGAAUCUGAGUAUACUUUGCUCAAGGCUUUCUUUCCCUGAUUAUUUUGUGAAGAAUGAGAGAGUUAGAACUGUAUAAGAAUAGAGUAAUUAAGGUUAGCAAAGACCAAUAAGAUCAUCUAGUCAAACUGUCAACACAUCCUCAACACGUCCUCUAACCAUGUCCUUCAGUCCAGUGCAUUACCACUCUUUUAGAGAGGUCAUUUUUUCUAACAUCCAAACUGAACCUCCCCUGGGACAACUUGAGGCUACUACUCAUCCCAUCACUAUUACCUGGGAGAAGAUGCUGACACCCAUCUAACCACAACCUCCUUUUAGGGAGUUGUAGAGAGCAAUAAAGUCUCCCAUGAGCCUCUUCUUCUCCAGACUGAACAAUCCCAGUUGCCUCAGCUGCUCCCCAUAACACUUGUCCAGAUCCUUCACAACUUCAUUGCCCUUCACUGAACACACUCCAGGGCCUUGAUGUCUUUCUUGCAGUGAGAGACCAAAACUGACCACAGUACUCAAAGUGCAGUCUCUCCACUGCUGAAUACAUGGGGACAAUUAUUUCCCUGCUCCUGCUGGCUGCACUAUUUCUGAUAGUAGUCAAGAUGCCAUUGGCUUUCUUGGCCACCUAAGCACACUCCUAGAUCAUGUUUAGCCAGGUGUCAAUUAACAUGCCCAGAUCCUUUCCCUCCGCACAGCUUUCCAGUCACUCUGCCUCAACCCUGUAGCGUUGCCUGGGGUUUCUUUGACCAAAGUGCAAGACCCAGCACUUGGUCGUCUGAAGCUCAUAAAAUUGGCCUCAGCCCAUCAAUCUACCCUGUUCAGUUCCCUCUGUAGGGUCUUCCUACUCUCAUGCAAAUCAACUCUUUCUGCCGCGUUGGUGUCAUCUGCAAACUUAGUGAGGCUGCACUCAAUCUCCUCAUCCAGGUCAUCAUUAAACAUAUUAAACAGGACAGACCCCAGUACCAACCACAGGGGAACACCACUCAUGACCAAUCACCAGCUGGAUUUAAUUCCAUUCAACCCCACACUCUGGGCCCAGCCAUCCAGCCAGGAUCCAAGUGGAUCCCAUCCAGCCCCUUGGACUUGUAACAGUCAUGACAAGGCCUACAUUUAUCUAGUUUGUUAUAUAGUGCUGCCUGUGUGAUAUCUGCUGUCAAUAGUCUGUGAAUAAACUAUAAUGAAAGAUACCUACUGUUGCACUUGCUUACAUGGACCACUGUGUUAUUUUACUACUGGUCUCACAGAUUAAUAACAAAAAACAUGUAGUGUAGUGGGCAUUACUAGAAGAUAUUUCAAUCAAGCCACAUUAAUUCAGUAUUGAAUAUACAAAUAUUAUGAAAUCGGAAGGUGUUAUGUACUCUCAUUUUUACAUACAAGAAAGUUUAAACAGUAAAUCUAAGGUCACCUUGGAGUUUAAUUUGGAAUAAAAUAAACACACUAUAUUUAAAAAGGAAAAAGUCCUAACUGAUUUAUCACCACUUACUCUUUCUUUUGGCAAGCAGGGCUAGAAAUAAUUACUGUCUGCGUAAAAUAUUCCUUCCAAAGAAAAAAAAAAAAAAAAACAUUUAAAAUGAAAUAAUUGUAUUCUUAAAAGUAGAGCCUGCAGAAAAAAAUGUAAAGCACUGAAAUACUUUUACUACUUUUGAAGCAUAAUUAUGUAAUUGCAUAAUUAAUUAUAUAUUUCUAAAAGAUAGGGUAGUGGCUUUACAUGGAGAAGUCUAGAUUUGUUACUUUUAUGUUCUACAUUAUCAUUUCCUGUUCUUCCAUCUGAAGGCAUUGUGGUGUAAUAAAAUUUGAUACUUUACAAUGCACACUGUUAAUCUUCUUCAAUACACAAAGAUUUUUAAAGAAUAAAGAUUUAAAACAAAUGAAAUCAUAAAUAUUUUUGUUAUAUAUAUGUACACCUUUCACCUUUCUUUCUGAUUUUCAUGCACUGUGGAUGAAGAAGUAAGAACGCUUUGCUUACAGUAAUGUACCACCAGCAUUCUUGUAUUAAAAUA
Long non-coding RNA from Gallus gallus (chicken), 4370 nucleotides. RefSeq lists it as uncharacterized. The record is from RefSeq and is a predicted model, not a curated record. NCBI's taxonomy places the organism in Eukaryota, Metazoa, Chordata, Aves, Galliformes, Phasianidae. The transcript is spliced from 5 exons.